GACGAACGCUGGCGGCGUGCUUAACACAUGCAAGUCGAACGCUGAAGCUCAGCUUUUGUUGGGUGGAUGAGUGGCGAACGGGUGAGUAACACGUGAGUAACCUGCCUCCUUCUUUGGGAUAACGCCCGGAAACGGGUGCUAAUACUGGAUAUUCACUGGUCUUCGCAUGGGGGUUGGUGGAAAGGGUUUUUCUGGUGGGGGAUGGGCUCGCGGCCUAUCAGCUUGUUGGUGGGGUGAUGGCCUACCAAGGCUUUGACGGGUAGCCGGCCUGAGAGGGUGACCGGUCACAUUGGGACUGAGAUACGGCCCAGACUCCUACGGGAGACAGCAGUGGGGAAUAUUGCACAAUGGGCGCAAGCCUGAUGCAGCGACGCCGCGUGAGGGAUGGAGGCCUUCGGGUUGUGAACCUCUUUCGCUCAUGGUCAAGCCGCAACAAUGGUUGUGGUGAGGGUAGUGGGUAAAGAAGCGCCGGCUAACUACGUG
This 483-nucleotide ribosomal RNA is filed under the name uncultured bacterium. RNAcentral's name for it is "partial 16S ribosomal RNA". It matches the Rfam family "Bacterial small subunit ribosomal RNA", at positions 28 to 507 of the family's 1533-position model. The record is from RNAcentral.